This 22-nucleotide microRNA is filed under the name Ovis aries (sheep). RNAcentral describes it as "microRNA let-7a". Lineage: Eukaryota; Metazoa; Chordata; Mammalia; Artiodactyla; Bovidae. The record is from RNAcentral.
UGGGGUAGUAGGUUGUAUAGUC